GACGAACGCUGGCGGCGUGCCUAAUACAUGCAAGUUGAGCGAUGAAGAUUGGUGCUUGCACCAAUUUGAAGAGCAGCGAACGGGUGAGUAACGCGUGGGGAAUCUGCCUUUGAGCGGGGGACAACAUUUGGAAACGAAUGCUAAUACCGCAUAACAACUUUAAACAUAAGUUUUAAGUUUGAAAGAUGCAAUUGCAUCACUCAAAGAUGAUCCCGCGUUGUAUUAGCUAGUUGGUGAGGUAAAGGCUCACCAAGGCGAUGAUACAUAGCCGACCUGAGAGGGUUAUCGGCCACAUUGGGACUGAGACACGGCCCAAACUCCUACGGGAGGCAGCAGUAGGGAAUCUUCGGCAAUGGACGAAAGUCUGACCGAGCAACGCCGCGUGAGUGAAGAAGGUUUUCGGAUCGUAAAACUCUGUUGGUAGAGAAGAACGUUGGUGAGAGUGGAAAGCCCAUCAAGUGACGGUAACUACCCAGAAAGGGACGGCUAACUACGUG
Molecule: ribosomal RNA, 497 nt
Filed under: uncultured bacterium
Lineage: Bacteria
Description: partial 16S ribosomal RNA
Rfam family: Bacterial small subunit ribosomal RNA
Source: RNAcentral